CUUUCCCUCAUCUCCAGCUCACUGUACAAAUGUUCAACGUUGUGACAAAAAACCGCAGUGGAGAAAGCACCAAGAAAACCCCGACCCCGCGCCCGAAAACACGUACUGUGACAGAACCUACAGCUCGGCGGUUGAGACGAUUGAUCGAGGAAACUGAUCGGGAGGAUUCACUGACAAGCUGCUUCCCACAUUAGGUGAGAAAACUUAAGACAUAAAAUCAUGAACAGCUAGACUGUUUAUACUGCACAAAUUAGACACAGCACUACAAUACCAAGCUGCAGAAAUACUUUAAAGCGUUCCUGACAAGGAAUCAUUUAGUCUGACCAAAAAGACCCAAUUCAUUUAAUAUUCAGCACUGAAUAACGAACAUUCUGAUAAAAAAAAAAAAAAGCCUUGAUAUUCAUCUACGUUAAUGAUCCAGGAGGGUUUUUCCCCCCCUCUGGCUGUCACUGGUUGGCUCUCCCCAAGGAGACGCCUCAUUGUGUAUGUUGUCAUGGCCAGUGUUAUGAGGUUAAAGGGUCUCCACGCUUCGGGAACGGACUGGUUUUGACUGUAACAGAAGUCGGGUCUAUGUUGGCGUCUGUGUGUUAAUUGGCCAAGGUUUGAUGAGCGACAGGUGCUAGUUAGAGGUACAUUUUUGAGAUAAUGAGUGACAUUUUGGGACAAACUUGCAUUAGAUUAGCGGUACGGUCGCGGCUUGCCCUGAUCAGUGUAUAGACGGUUAUUAUAAUCCACAUUUUCAAGUACUAUAAGUAACAUUCAAGAUGAUGAACAUGGUUACAGUUUCAUGCUAUGAUUUUACUGCUGUAGAUAAUCUAGGAUAAAAGUCUCAUAGUAAUGUUUCAUUUUAGCUGUGUUGGGAAGGUUGAUUUUUGCUUGGUUAUGACUAAUCUGAC
Molecule: long non-coding RNA, 896 nt
Organism: Ictalurus punctatus (channel catfish)
Lineage: Eukaryota; Metazoa; Chordata; Actinopteri; Siluriformes; Ictaluridae
Source: Ensembl